CCUAAGGUAGCGAAAUUCCUUGUCGGGUAAGUUCCGACCUGCACGAAUGGCGUAAUGAUGGCCAGGCUGUCUCCACCCGAGACUCAGUGAAAUUGAACUCGCUGUGAAGAUGCAGUGUACCCGCGGCAAGACGGAAAGACCCCGUGAACCUUUACUAUAGCUUGACACUGAACACUGGUCCUUGAUGUGUAGGAUAGGUGGGAGGCUUUGAAGCGUGGACGCCAGUCUGCGUGGAGCCAACCUUGAAAUACCACCCUUUAAUGGCUGGUGUUCUAACGUAGACCCGUAAUCCGGGUUGCGGACAGUGUCUGGUGGGUAGUUUGACUGGGGCGGUCUCCUCCCAAAGAGUAACGGAGGAGCACGAAGGUUGGCUAAUCCUGGUCGGACAUCAGGAGGUUAGUGCAAUGGCAUAAGCCAGCUUGACUGCGAGCGUGACGGCGCGAGCAGGUGCGAAAGCAGGUCAUAGUGAUCCGGUGGUUCUGAAUGGAAGGGCCAUCGCUCAACGGAUAAAAGGUACUCCGGGGAUAACAGGCUGAUACCGCCCAAGAGUUCAUAUCGACGGCGGUGUUUGGCACCUCGAUGUCGGCUCAUCACAUCCUGGGGCUGAAGUAGGUCCCAAGGGUAUGGCUGUUCGCCAUUUAAAGUGGUACGCGAGCUGGGUUUAGAACGUCGUGAGACAGUUCGGUCCCUAUCUGCCGUGGGCGCUGGAGAAUUGAGGGGGGCUGCUCCUAGUACGAGAGGACCGGAGUGGACGCAUCACUGGUGUUCGGGUUGUCAUGCCAAUGGCACUGCCCGGUAGCUAAAUGCGGAAGAGAUAAGUGCUGAAAGCAUCUAAGCACGAAACUUGCCCCGAGAUGAGUUCUCCCUGAGACUUUAAGUCUCCUGAAGGAACGUUAAAGACUAUGACGUUGAUAGGUCGGGUGUGUAAGCGCAGCGAUGCGUUGAGCUAACCGAUACUAAUGAACCGUGAGGCUUAACCUU
Molecule: ribosomal RNA, 981 nt
Filed under: human gut metagenome
Description: bacterial LSU rRNA
Rfam family: Bacterial large subunit ribosomal RNA
Source: RNAcentral